CCUACGGGUGGCAGCAGUGAGGAAUAUUGGUCAAUGGACGAGAGUCUGAACCAGCCACGUAGCGUGAAGGAUGACUGCCCUAUGGGUUGUAAACUUCUUUUAUAUGGGAAUAAAAUGUUCCACGUGUGGGAUUUUGUAUGUACCAUAUGAAUAAGGAUCGGCUAACUCCGUGCCAGCAGCCGCGGUAAUACGGAGGAUCCGAGCGUUAUCCGGAUUUAUUGGGUUUAAAGGGAGCGUAGGUGGAUUGUUAAGUCAGUUGUGAAAGUUUGCGGCUCAACCGUAAAAUUGCAGUUGAAACUGGCAGUCUUGAGUACAGUAGAGGUGGGCGGAAUGCGUGGUGUAGCGGUGAAAUGCUUAGAUAUCACGAAGAACUCCGAUUGCGAAGGCAGUUCACUGGACUGCAACUGACACUGAGGCGCGAAAGUGUGGGUAUCAAACAGGAUUAGAUACCCGUGUAGUC
This 460-nucleotide ribosomal RNA is filed under the name uncultured bacterium. RNAcentral's name for it is "partial 16S ribosomal RNA". It matches the Rfam family "Bacterial small subunit ribosomal RNA", at positions 338 to 795 of the family's 1533-position model. The record is from RNAcentral.